GAGAAGAGCAGUGAGAUGAAGACAGACACCUGGGGGAUGCUAGCAUAUAAGUGGUGGGUGGAGAAAGAGAGGUCCUUGGCUGAGAAGGAACAGAAAUGAAUGGGACAAACUACGAAUGUGUAAUAUUACUUUGGGGGCCGUGGUGCACAUAAUCAACAUUGCCAAAUGCCCCAGAAAUGUAUAGGAAGACAAACAUUGGAAAACGUCCAUUGGAUUUUGUAAUUAGAAGAACACUGAUGGCCUUAACAGGAGCAGAAGCAGGAUCGCAGCAGGAGUCUCCAAAGAAUGAACAAGCCAGCCUUUGUGUUGUGUUUCCCGCUCUUCCCUCGAAGCGCUGGAAUGACUUUUGUGCUCCUGAGGUUGAAAGCAAGUUUCUGGGACACCAGGGUGCCACCUCCCUCCAAGGUUUUUCUUUGAAGUGGUUAUUUAGUUGAGAUCCCACAGAUGGUCAUUAAACAGCUAUGGGUGACUAUGUUCAUACCUGAGGAAGUGGAGACAGAACUGAUACUAAAGUUGAAGAAGGUGAGUGACAAGAGCCUGGGGGUGACUUUUCUGGAAUAAAAAAAGAGGCCAGUGGUAGCAAGUUGUGCAAGUGGCUGAAAGCCAGGCCCUUCCUUGAAGCAGUUCCUUGAAGGCAGCAGGAUCUCUGAAGAGGCGGCAUAUGGGUGUGAGGGGUCCUGAGCUCUCCAGUCGUGAGAACCUGGCCAUCUUGCCAGAGCUGGGCCCAGGGUGGAAUGAGGCGGAGUGGCGUGGGGAAUGGAGCCUCCAGCCUGAAAUGGAUUAUUCUGGCCCAGAUAAUAAACAGCUAAGCAGUGACUGUGAUAGACUGGAGAAGGAAGAUCUUUCCUCAAAUUUUCUGGACAAUUCUCCAGGGAUGUCUGACAGCCCCUGAAGAGAAGGGGUUCCAAUAAUGACUGCCAAUGAGUAUCGCCACUCUUGAGAGAGAAUCUUGAAAUUGAAUUUAAAAAUAAAAUAAAAUAAAGUGCAAUAUGACAUUUCUUGUA
Molecule: long non-coding RNA, 1004 nt
Filed under: Equus asinus (donkey)
Lineage: Eukaryota; Metazoa; Chordata; Mammalia; Perissodactyla; Equidae
Description: lncRNA (ENSEASG00005036776.1)
Source: RNAcentral